Molecule: unclassified non-coding RNA, 278 nt
Filed under: Hevea brasiliensis (rubber tree)
Lineage: Eukaryota; Viridiplantae; Streptophyta; Magnoliopsida; Malpighiales; Euphorbiaceae
Source: RNAcentral
AGGCAGAUACGGAUUUGUAUAGUCCCUGCAAAAUUGGAUAAACAAAACCACGGAUAUUAGGAAGUGCAGAAGGUGCUAUUGAUAAUACAUGAGUAAGCAUGCAAAGUUUAACAGGCAUAAAUUAGGAUAGACAAAUUUUUUUUUUUUUUUUUUUAAAAGCAAUGAAAUUAUCAUAUUAUGUGAGGGAACUGUCAAGAGUUGGAUGUUUUCCUCUACGCAUUCUGCUGCUAGGUAUAUGGUGUGAUAAGCAAACAAAGAGAAAAGUGUCUUGUAUCAAC